AGAGUUUGAUCAUGGCUCAGGAUGAACGCUGGCGGCGUGCCUAACACAUGCAAAGUCGAACGCCCUCGGCUUUUUCGGAAGCCGAGGGAGUGGCGGACGGGUGAGUAAGACAUGGGUGACCUAGCCCACAGUGAGGGAUACCGGCGAGAAAUCGCCGACAAGCCCGCAUAGGCUGGCUCUGGUGGAGCGGAGCGAGCAAAGGUUCUUUCGGGAGCCGCUGAGGGAUGGGCCUGUGGCCGAUUAGCUGGUUGGUGGGGUAAGAGCCUACCAAGGCGACGAUCGGUAGCUGGUCUGAGAGGACGAACAGCCACACUGGGAUUGAGAACGGCCCAGACUCCUACGGGGGGCAGCAGUGAGGAAUUUUCCGCAAUGGACGCAAGUCUGACGGAGCAACGCCGCGUGCAGGAGGACGCUUUUCGGAGUGUAAACUGCUUUUCUGUGGGACGAGGAUGGACGGUACCACAGGAAGAAGCCCCGGCUAACUACGUGCCAGCAGCCGCGGUAAUACGUAGGGGGCGAGCGUUGUCCGGAGUUACUGGGCGUAAAGGGCAUGCAGGCGGUCGGACGCGUUUGGUGUGACAGCGGAUGGCUUACCUAUCCGAGCAUACGAAAGACGGUUUGACUUGAGGACUCGAGAGGGACACGGAAUUCCGGGUGGAGUGGUGAAAUGCGUAGAGAUCCGGAGGAACACCGAAGGCGAAGGCAGUGUCCUGGCGAGUGACUGACGCUGAGGUGCGAAAGCCAGGGGAGCGAACGGGAUUAGAUACCCUAGUAGUCC
Molecule: ribosomal RNA, 778 nt
Filed under: uncultured bacterium
Lineage: Bacteria
Description: bacterial SSU rRNA
Rfam family: Bacterial small subunit ribosomal RNA
Source: RNAcentral